This 3487-nucleotide long non-coding RNA is filed under the name Homo sapiens (human). Its description in RNAcentral is "HSALNT0296983". The record is from RNAcentral. Lineage: Eukaryota; Metazoa; Chordata; Mammalia; Primates; Hominidae.
CUGUCUCCGGCGACUGGAGAGGGCAUUGGCCAGGAGAAGUGAGACGUGGACAAAAGGCGGGACUGGGAAGGGAUCUCUCGCUUCGACCCGCCUCCGACCCGCGGAGUUGCCCCCUGAGGACUACCAGUCCCAGUGUGCACUGCUUCUUCCCCGGCUCUCCCGCGAGCCGACUCGGAGCCGUGUCUCUCGCUUCUACCCGGGGUAGGCGCGCUGCACCCUGGGACUUGCGGUCCUCCGAGGUCGCCAGUGGUUGCUGGGAUCCCACCUCCCCCUUUCCUCGGCGCCCUACAGUCAACCCUGUCUCGGUGGGCUGCGGAGUCCCGGGAAACCCGUCAGCUGUUUAUCUCUCUUCCUCAGAAAGUUGUUUCCCAGAGAGCUGGCUGAAUGAGGCGCACUGUCCCCAUGUCAGUGCUGCUGCGUUAGGGAAUAGUGUUGGAGUAGUCGUCUACCCUCAGGGAAAUUCCAAAACACAGUAACAGCAAAAUGAAUUGAGCCUUUGAAGGCAUUGCGCUAAGGUUUUUACUCGCAAUCAUCUCAUGCACUCUUCUCAACUCUGAUAGAGUAAGUACCACCAUCCCCCUUUUGCAGACGAGAAAACAGAGGCUUAGAAAAGUUGGUUAACAAGAGCUCGUCACACUGCUGUAUUAGAAUCCAUCCAGCCUCUGAUUCGGAAGCCCUUGCAUUUAACCACCGCGCAGUACUACAAGGAUGAAGGAGCACGUGGGUCCUCGUACAUGAUUAAUAAUAGUUACCUCAAAAGCUCAAUGUAAGGAGAGCUGUGUGGGCUGCAAAGAAGGUUUAAUGAAGGAGAUUGGAACUUGCAAUGAAUUUUGAUGACCGAGUCCCAGGUUAACUAUUGGUAAAAUGACACAUCGGUUCCUCUUGAAAAACCACAUUGUUUUUCUAGUGUGGUCAUUCAAUAGGUGCGGAGUUUAGGAGCUUCGAUGUGAUCUCUGUGACCACAGUAAAUUACUUACGUGUCCUUUAAGCAGUAUUCGGCGGUCUUUCUGGAAACGUUUCUUCCUUGACUUUUAUCACCUUACCUCUUACCUCUUAACCUCUUACCUCUUCUCUGGCUGACCCGUUUUCCUUCAUUCUCUCGCUACUUUAUAUUAAAAUACAGGUGUUCCCUUAAGGUUUUCUUUUUGUCCUUUUUCUCUCUGUACUCUAAUUAUUCCUUGGUGAUUUCUUCUCAUAAGGAUUCAGCCAACAUAUCUCUGUGGUUGAUUUCUAAAUCAAUAUCUGUCCUGAUCAUUAGACCCACAUUUCCACCUCCCUAAUAGAAAUGUCCUAAUGUCUAGCCCAAGGGUAGCUCAAACGUAAGAUGUUUUCUGAUUCAAAUUAAUGCAUCGGAAUCAUUGUCAACUCAUCUUUAGCCUUCGGGGUCCACGUGCAAUUAAUUACCAAAUUAUAUAGAUUUUACCUCUUCUAUCUUUCAGAUUAUUACCUUUCUUUCUAUUCCCACUUUUGCUCCAUUCAAGCUUCCAUUACCUCUCUCCUAAACUAUUGCAGUGUCUCAAUAAAUGUUAAAUAUACUUGCUUCCUUAUUCCUGCAGUUUUCUUAUCUAUAAAGUGGGAAUAAUAUGGUCCUUUUAUCCAGUAGUCCCCAACUUUUUUGGCACCAGGGACCACUUUUGUGGAAGGCAAUUUUUCCACAGGGUGGGGGAGACACCGUUCCAUCUCAGAUCUUCAGGUAUUAGAUUCUCAUAAGGAGCGUGCAACCUAGAUCCCUCGCAUGUGCAGUGCACAAUAGGGUUCAUGCUCCUAUGAGACUCUGACGCAGUUGAUCUGACAGGAGGUGGAGCUCAGGUGGUAAUGCUUGCUCGCCUGCUGCUCCUGAGAGGCAACUGACUGGUACCAGUCCACUGCCCCAGGCUUGGGGAUCCUUGCUUUUAUCUACUAACGUGGAUGCUGUGAAAACACAUGAAGUCAUUUCUGUACAAUAUUUAAUAUCCUUUAUUUUUUUGCAUGGAUCUCCAAUCCUACAUUGGUUCCAUCCUAGUCCUCUUUGGCAGCAUUAAUGUUGAAGUUACCGAUUAUCUCCCUGCUGCCCUACUCUCCUCUAUACAUGGCUGUCAGAAUUGGUAUUCAAGAACAUCUGCAAACCCUCUGAAUACCUUCUUUCUUCCUUCUAGUCUGCCCUGCCCUCAAAUCCUAUGUGAUAACUAAAUAAUUCCUAUUCUGUAUCCUUUCCAUGCCUUUGCUCACACCAUCUCCUAUGCUACCCCAUCAUCUUUGUACAACACUCAACACCUGUUAAGGCUGGGCUCAGAUUCCAUUUCCACAAAACCCUUCCAGAACCUUCUAGUUAGCAGAAGUUAUCCUCUCUCUGUGCCUCCAUGGUAUUCUGUGUCUUUGUUAUUGUGUUUUUCAUAGUCUGCAUACCCACUACAUUUUAACCACAUGAAAAGUAUUGACUUUAGCUUAUUUGUAGGUUGUCUUAGUCCGUUCUCUGUUGCUAUAAUGGAAUACCUGAAAGUGGGUAAUUUAUAAAGAAAAGUAAUUUAUUUCUUACGAUUCUGGACUGGGAAAUCCAAAAACCCGGCACCGGCAUCUGGUUGGCUUCUGACGAGUGCCUCGUGCUGCAUCAUGACAUGGUGGAAAAGCAGGCACGUGUGAAAGAGGUGAAACACGAGGGGCAGCCUCUCUGCAUAACAACCCAUUCUGGCGGUGACUAAUCCAGUCCUGAGAGAAUAAGAACCCACUCUAGCAAGAAGUAACCCAGACCGGAGAGAGCAGCAUUAAUCCCUCUUAAUCACCUCUUAAAGGCCCCAUCUCCCCAGAUCACCAUACCAGGGACCACAUUUCCAACACAGAUAUUCUGAGGGACACACUCAAAUUAUAGCAUAAGGAUAUUCUGAAACACCUAGCACUGUGCCUCUCCUGCUGUAGAUGCUCAGUAAAUGUUGAAUAUACUUGUUUUUGUAUUCCUUCAGUUUCCUUAUCUAAAAAGUGGGAAUAAUAUAGUCCUUUUAUCUACUUACAUAGAUGCUAUGAAAACACAUGAGGUCACUUCUGUACAAUAUUUAAUAUUAUCCUUUCUUUGGACAGAUCUGCAAUCCAACAUUGGUUUCAUCCUGGAUCCUCUUUGGCAGCCUUGGUAAUGAAGUUAGCUAAAUCAAUACAUGAAAUGAAAGAGGAGAAGACAGACAUAGAAGACUAGGCCACAUGAAGACUAAGGCAGAGAUUGGAUUUAUGCAGCUACAUACAAGGAAAGCCUACAGCCACCAGAAUCUGGAAGAGAUAAGGAAGGAUUUGCCACUAAAGCAUUCAGAAGGUUCAACUGAAGGCAUAAAAUGUCAAGUUCCUCAGCUCAAAAUCAAAAUCUCUACUCUGCCACUAUCUUGGUAAUUUAAGCAAAUUAUUCUGCCUCUUUUGGUCUAAGUUUAGUCAUUUGUAAUAUUAAAGUGGUAAAUUAGAUCAGAAGAUCCCAAAAUGACAUUUUGAGAAAUUCUGUUUUGAAGGAUAUGAAUGGGUGUGCCCUAUA